CAUAUACUCCCUCCGUCCAAUAUUAAGCGUCGCAACAUUGUCUAGAUACACAUGUAUCUAAACGUGUUUUAGUAUGUAGGUACAUGCCUAUUUAGACAAAGUUGGGACACUUAAUAUGGGACAGAUGGAGUAUAAU
Non-coding RNA from Brachypodium distachyon (stiff brome), 136 nucleotides. The record is from Rfam. NCBI's taxonomy places the organism in Eukaryota, Viridiplantae, Streptophyta, Magnoliopsida, Poales, Poaceae.